GCCGAUGUAGCUCAGUUGGUAGAGCAAGUGUUUCGUAAACACUAGGUCGUCGGUUCGAGUCCGACCAUCGGCUCCG
This 76-nucleotide transfer RNA is filed under the name Sphaerobacter thermophilus DSM 20745. Its description in RNAcentral is "tRNA-Thr". It matches the Rfam family "tRNA". From Rfam's summary of the family: Transfer RNA (tRNA) molecules are approximately 80 nucleotides in length. Their secondary structure includes four short double-helical elements and three loops (D, anti-codon, and T loops). Lineage: Bacteria; Pseudomonadati; Thermomicrobiota; Thermomicrobia; Sphaerobacterales; Sphaerobacteraceae. The record is from RNAcentral.